Long non-coding RNA from Limanda limanda (common dab), 1288 nucleotides. RefSeq lists it as uncharacterized. The record is from RefSeq and is a predicted model, not a curated record. The transcript is spliced from 3 exons. NCBI's taxonomy places the organism in Eukaryota, Metazoa, Chordata, Actinopteri, Pleuronectiformes, Pleuronectidae.
AUUCACUAAUGCAUUAUUUUUCUUGUUGCCAGAGACAGAGAUGGUCACUCUGGAUCUUCAAAUUAUUCCAAACCCCACAACACUGUCCAGCCCAUCACCACUUGAAAGCUGCUCCCCACAGUCCAGUGCAUCAUCACCAGUAGCUACAUCGUCCUCAUCAGACCAGAGCAGCCCUUACCCUACCCCUGACUCCCCGUCUAAUACUGCUCGGUGGAACAGAGCAGGCGGCAGUUGGACGAUGGAUGAUCAGCCUGGAGGGACAUGUCAUUUGUGAGGGCAUCCAACAAGCAUUUGUGACAGGGCUUGCUGCUCUGUUUUCAGUGUACUAUAUCUUCAACCUACACUACCAAGAGGAAGCUGCCUGUACACUUGAAUUCAUUCAAAGGCGAUUUGUUGGAAUCAAUCCAGAAAGAGGAACAAAGGCCGGUCGAGGCAAGAUCAUCUCCAAGAGGACAAGGAGAGUCGUUCUAAAGAAGUCAGUCACAGUUAAUACUGAUGUCUCCACUCUCCUGAAGAAUCUCAUUGACUUCGAGUGGAAUUUCAUUGGCCAGUGAAAGCUCACUACCCAGGUACAGCCACAGUUAUUUCCCAAUGUCUUUUUCUGUUCAUGUAAUGUUGUUCUUUUUCUCUUGGCCAGCAAAUAUGGUAUAAUGUACACAAAAAGGGAACAUGUUCAUUUGUCCCAGGGAAGAAAUGGUAUUGCUGGAUUUGAUCAGUUUAGCCUUUUAAGGUCACCGUGUAACAGUCAGUAGAAUCUGAGCACACCUUGGAUCAGUACUAUUCUUAGAGGGCACAGGGUCUGCUCUUAAUUUAAUUUUGUAUUUAUUGUUUUAUAUUUAUUUUAAGACUCCUUUAAGUUCUAAUUAAUACAGCUUACAUUGAAAUGCUGAAUGUGUACAGUGUAUUCUACUCAGGGAGAUUUUUGAAUUUUUUAUUAAUAGGUUACUCCAUACACUGUAUGACACCUCUUGGUUUCCCACUGUUCAAAUUUUGAUAAUGUUUGAAGAGAAUAUGUGUCUUUCCAUUUUGGUGUUAGAUGAUUGUUGUUGUAAGCACUUUGUCUGAGGGGGCGCUCUUUAUUUGCCAGAAUGAACACUCAAGUCUUUCAUUUUGUUGGCUUUCUAUGAAAGUAGAAAUGUCUUUGCUUCUAUAUUGUUUGUGGGAUUUUUGUUCUUUUCUCAUGCAUCAUUCCCCACAAGUGUAUAAAAAUGUUUAUAACUGUUAUCACAUUUAAUGAAAAAAGGAUAACUGCCAUGUUGUUUUGCACACUGAAAUUUACAACUGAAAC